This 440-nucleotide ribosomal RNA is filed under the name uncultured bacterium. Its description in RNAcentral is "partial 16S ribosomal RNA". It matches the Rfam family "Bacterial small subunit ribosomal RNA", at positions 338 to 795 of the family's 1533-position model. The record is from RNAcentral.
CCUACGUGAGGCAGCAGUGGGGAAUAUUGCACAAUGGGGGAAACCCUGAUGCAGCGACGCCGCGUGAGUGAAGAAGUAAUUCGUUAUGUAAAGCUCUAUCAGCAGGGAAGAAAAUGACGGUACCUGAGUAAGAAGCCCCGGCUAACUACGUGCCAGCAGCCGCGGUAAUACGUAGGGGGCAAGCGUUAUCCGGAUUUACUGGGUGUAAAGGGAGCGUAGACGGCAGUGCAAGUCUGGAGUGAAAGGCGGGGGCUCAACCCCCGGACUGCUCUGGAAACUGUACGGCUGGAGUGCAGGAGAUGUAAGUGGAAUUCCUAGUGUAGCGGUGAAAUGCGUAGAUAUUAGGAGGAACACCAGUGGCGAAGGCGGCUUACUGGACUGUAACUGACGUUGAGGCUCGAAAGCGUGGGGAGCAAACAGGAUUAGAUACCCGAGUAGUC